This is a long non-coding RNA of Herpailurus yagouaroundi (jaguarundi), 978 nucleotides long. RefSeq lists it as uncharacterized. The transcript is spliced from 2 exons. Lineage: Eukaryota; Metazoa; Chordata; Mammalia; Carnivora; Felidae. The record is from RefSeq and is a predicted model, not a curated record.
CCUGCCUCGUUGGCAACCUGGGGGAGGGCGGAGAAGAGGUGCUAGUUCCUUCCAGAGGAGGCGAGGGGGGCGGGCCUCAAGGCGCUCCGAGCUCUCAGCGUCGGGCAGGGGAACCAGGCGCCACCUAGUGUGGGACGGUGCGUGUCGUCCAGUUCCUUUUGGGCUAAGUCAGUCGUCUUGUGGCCUCUAGGGCGACGGGAAGCUCCGCCGCGGAGCCUGCUGGGAAAAAUUAUUUUUCGUUCUAAUGGUGAAAUGAAACGAAUAACAAUGAUGCUCAGAAAAGAAGCGCAGCUAGUGAAAAUUUUCUUUUGCUAAAGUCCACAGUAACGAUCCCAAUUAAAAAACGACAGCACUCUAAGGAAAACUAAUGGGUUAAUACUUUUCACUUGCAUCAGUGUAUUUUUUUUAAAACGUAAGAAACAUACCUAUGCAUUUGUGUUAAAGUGCAGUAAUGGUCUGGUGUUUUUAAGCCUUAAUGUCUGCAAAUUUGCAAUCACUUUGUCAAAAUUGCUCCUCGUUGUGGGUUGAAUUGUGUGUUCCCCCACCGUCCAAGAAAGAUAUAUUAAACCCUAACCCUUCCCAACCUCCACCCUCAGAAUAUGACCUUAUUUGGGAAGGGGAUUAUUGCAGUUGCAAUUAAUUAAGAUGAAGUCAUACUGGAGUAGGGUGGGCAUCUAAUCCAAACGACUGGCGUCUUCAUAGAACACAAGUGCAGAGACAGGCACAGAGUGAAGACAACGUUGUGCAGACUAGAGACAGGCACGGGGAGAAUGCUACGUGACCAAGAAGUCAGCGAUCCCAGUUGGGCAGUUGCAAGCCAAGGAUUGCCAAGGAUUUCUGACAAACACCUGAAACUAAAAGAAGGGCAUGGAACAAAAAUUUCCCUAGAUCCUUAAAAGAAUUCAUGGCCCAACUGUUACAUUGAUUUUGGACUUCCAGCCUUCAAGAUUAUGAGCCAAUAAAUUUGUUUUAAGGUGC